UUAUAGCCCCGAUGGGAGCGACAUAUGGCUUGGUUCCCCCUUUGGGGGGUAGGGGGCGGGCCAUAUAUAGCGGACAGCGGGAACUACG
Molecule: small RNA, 88 nt
Filed under: Corchorus olitorius
Lineage: Eukaryota; Viridiplantae; Streptophyta; Magnoliopsida; Malvales; Malvaceae
Description: Flavo-1 RNA
Rfam family: Flavo-1 RNA
Source: Rfam by way of RNAcentral